Molecule: ribosomal RNA, 481 nt
Filed under: uncultured bacterium
Lineage: Bacteria
Description: bacterial SSU rRNA
Rfam family: Bacterial small subunit ribosomal RNA
Source: RNAcentral
GAUGAACGCUGACAGAAUGCUUAACACAUGCAAGUCGAUUCAAGUUACCUUCGGGUAACAAGGAUGGCGGACGGGUGAGUAACGCGUAAGGAACUUGCCUCUUGGUCUGGGACAACUGUUGGACACGACAGCUACUACCGUAUAUUAUGAGGUUCUCGCAUGGGAAACUUAUGCAAUCUAUAUGCGCCCAGAGAGAGUCGUGCGUUCCAUUAGCUAGUUGGUGGGGUAACGGACCACCAAGGCGACGAUGGAUAGCCGGCCUGAGAGGGUGAACGGCCACAAGGGGACUGAGACACGGCCCUUACUCCUACGGGAGGCAGCAGUGGGGAAUAUUGGACAAUGGGCCACAAGCCUGAUCCAGCAAUUCCGUGUGCACGAUGAAGGUCUUCGGAUUGUAAAGUGCUUUCAGUUGGGAAGAAGAAAGUGACGGUACCAACAGAAGAAGCGACGGCUAAAUACGUGCCAGCAGCCGCGGUAAAAC